Molecule: ribosomal RNA, 77 nt
Filed under: Limosilactobacillus mucosae
Lineage: Bacteria; Bacillati; Bacillota; Bacilli; Lactobacillales; Lactobacillaceae
Description: Lactobacillus mucosae partial 16S ribosomal RNA
Rfam family: Bacterial small subunit ribosomal RNA (bases 1-69)
Source: RNAcentral
GGGCAGAUGAUUAGGGUGAAGUCGUAACAAGGUAGCCGUAGGAGAACCUGCGGCUGGAUCACCUCCUUUCUAAGGAA